CCUACGGGGGGCAGCAGUGGGGAAUAUUGGACAAUGGGGGCAACCCUGAUCCAGCCAUGCCGCGUGUGUGAAGAAGGCCCUCGGGUUGUAAAGCACUUUCAGUGAGGAAGAACGCCUGGUGGUUAAUACCCAUCAGGAAAGACAUCACUCACAGAAGAAGCACCGGCUAACUCCGUGCCAGCAGCCGCGGUAAUACGGAGGGUGCGAGCGUUAAUCGGAAUUACUGGGCGUAAAGCGCGCGUAGGUGGCUUGAUAAGCCGGUUGUGAAAGCCCCGGGCUCAACCUGGGAACGGCAUCCGGAACUGUCAAGCUAGAGUGCAGGAGAGGAAGGUAGAAUUCCCGGUGUAGCGGUGAAAUGCGUAGAGAUCGGGAGGAAUACCAGUGGCGAAGGCGGCCUUCUGGGCUGACACUGACACUGAGGUGCGAAAGCGUGGGUAGCAAACAGGAUUAGAUACCCUGGUAGUC
Molecule: ribosomal RNA, 465 nt
Filed under: Vreelandella stevensii
Lineage: Bacteria; Pseudomonadati; Pseudomonadota; Gammaproteobacteria; Oceanospirillales; Halomonadaceae
Description: partial 16S ribosomal RNA
Rfam family: Bacterial small subunit ribosomal RNA
Source: RNAcentral